RNAcentral lists this transfer RNA (69 nucleotides) under Ictidomys tridecemlineatus (thirteen-lined ground squirrel). Its description in RNAcentral is "Spermophilus tridecemlineatus (thirteen-lined ground squirrel) tRNA". It matches the Rfam family "tRNA". From Rfam's summary of the family: Transfer RNA (tRNA) molecules are approximately 80 nucleotides in length. Their secondary structure includes four short double-helical elements and three loops (D, anti-codon, and T loops). Further hydrogen bonds mediate the characteristic L-shaped molecular structure. tRNAs have two regions of fundamental functional importance: the anti-codon, which is responsible for specific mRNA codon recognition, and the 3' end, to which the tRNAs corresponding amino acid is attached (by aminoacyl-tRNA synthetases). tRNAs cope with the degeneracy of the genetic code in two manners: having more than one tRNA (with a specific anti-codon) for a particular amino acid; and 'wobble' base-pairing, i.e. permitting non-standard base-pairing at the 3rd anti-codon position. The record is from Rfam by way of RNAcentral. Lineage: Eukaryota; Metazoa; Chordata; Mammalia; Rodentia; Sciuridae. RNAcentral also lists the same sequence under 1 other name.
GGGGUUGUGGCUCGGUGGUAGAGCACUCGCCUAGCAUGUGCGAGGCCCUGGGUUCAAACCUCAGCACCA